CAGGCAGAGAUCUGAAGGCCUGGGUGUGAGCAACCUCCAGCCUGGGCCUGGCUGGUGUCCAUCCUAGCACGUGUUUUCUCAUUCCUGGAUAUUGGCCCCUAGGUGGCACGUGGAACUGCUGGAGGCUUCGAGAGGCCAGCACAAGGACCUCUGGGAAUUCCACAUGAUGAAGCAGCGACUGGCCUGGGAGAUUCGUGCCCUGCAGAGCAGCAAGGAGCAGCUGCUCACCGAAGAGAGGCAGGCGCGGGCGAAGCUGGAGGAGGUUGAGCAGCGGCUGCGCUCGCCGCCCGAGGUCCCGGGCGCCUCGGCAGAGAAGGACGGGCUGAAGGCGGAGCUGGAGAAACUCGGGGGCAGGUCCCCGCCCAGGCCCAGAACACCCCAGAAGUCGGAGCCAGCAAAUGAAAGGCCCGCCCGGAAAUAAAGGCGACGUUUAACCGACUGCCCUGCACCUCUCCGGCUGAGUCUGUGCUCCGGGAACCAUCGGGGACCGUGUGGUUCCUUUCCGCUCUCCCAGGGAAGGGG
This 522-nucleotide long non-coding RNA is filed under the name Sus scrofa (pig). RNAcentral's name for it is "lncRNA (ENSSSCG00060040708.1)". Lineage: Eukaryota; Metazoa; Chordata; Mammalia; Artiodactyla; Suidae. The record is from RNAcentral.